CUUUGAUGAGCAGACCAGCAAUGUUUCUGUUUCUUAAAAUAUGUCAGGUGUGGCAUGUGACGUGGUUACUAUUAUUAAUACUUGAGUGGAUUCUGACUGAAGCCUAAAUAAGCAGACUAGGUUUGCCUUCUUAUAGUACCCAUUCAUGUUCGUGUGUUCAGCACUAUUUUUCUGCUGUGUCUUCAGCAAUGCUCUGUUUGGACGUACUAUGUUGGGUUGUAUAAUAUGCUAUGGAAUGUUUUCUGUUGUGAAACAGUUUAUGUAAAUAAUGCCUGUUUCAACAUUCUUAUAUGGUUUGCUGAAUCCGAAUCCAGGUGAGACAUAAGUCACAGGGCCAUCAACCGUGAUGAUCACUGGUUUUGUUAAGUUCAUGGUACUGUGUUUAUGGGUUGACCAAAUUUGUCCUCAACAAUGCACAAAUUGUUUAAACUAAGAGGAGUGAUGUCUUUCAAUUAUCA
Molecule: unclassified non-coding RNA, 458 nt
Filed under: Hevea brasiliensis (rubber tree)
Lineage: Eukaryota; Viridiplantae; Streptophyta; Magnoliopsida; Malpighiales; Euphorbiaceae
Source: RNAcentral